CUGUGCCCCUUUUCUGUGCCGUGAUUUGUUACUCGACAAAGAUAAGGCGGCUCAGCG
Molecule: microRNA precursor, 57 nt
Filed under: Panagrellus redivivus
Lineage: Eukaryota; Metazoa; Nematoda; Chromadorea; Rhabditida; Panagrolaimidae
Description: microRNA prd-mir-7969 precursor
Source: miRBase by way of RNAcentral